This is a long non-coding RNA of Oryza brachyantha (malo sina), 1262 nucleotides long. RefSeq lists it as uncharacterized. The transcript is spliced from 3 exons. The record is from RefSeq and is a predicted model, not a curated record. Lineage: Eukaryota; Viridiplantae; Streptophyta; Magnoliopsida; Poales; Poaceae.
GCCCCCCUUCUUCUUCUUCCUCCUCAUCAAUAGAUCUGCUGCUGAUGUUCUUUCUCCUACUAUCCUACUCUCCUACUACUACUAUGUAGUGUGCACUGUGUAGUAAGUAGUACUACGUGUUUCUGGAGAAGGCGAAGGCGAAGGCGAAGGCGAAGGCGGAGGCUGCCGCCGCUUUAAAGACGAGAGGAAAUGCGGCGUCGUGAUGGCGCCGGCGAAGACGAGCAGCCUCGGAAACGCUGACCGGCCGGUCACCGUCCGUCCCGGAUCUCCACGCGCCGCCGCCCGCCUGAGGUAUUGCCGCUUCCAAUAUAAACCCUUCUCUCUCUCUCAAUCUAGGUGUGCCGCCGCCGCCGUCGCCGUCGACCAACAUUUUGGCCGCCGUUGAUCCUGCCUGCUUCCUCUCUUCCCGUCUCCCGUUUCCAAGCAGCAUCCCAUCCGCUUUACCUUCGCUUUUGUUCGUCCCUCGUCGCGUCCAUCCAGAGAAACAAGAUCGAUGGGUACCACACUCACGGGCCCAUGGCCUCGACCACCAGGCCCAGCCCAAUCAUCAUCACUUCUGCGUGAUCCAACAAUCUGCAGCAACGCCCCUGGAAUUCACAGAUGGUGUGACCACCAGGCCCAGCACAACCAUCAGUUUUGCCUCAUCCAACCAAGCAGAAACUGAAGAAAACCUCUGCACAGGUAUCACCUGUAAUCAUCCUCAUUCACAGUUACGGAUAGAGCAACAUUUAGUAGCAUCUGCCACUGAAGUACUGAACUCAGUCCUUUUCGAUUACUUGUUAAGACUGUUUACUGGCAGAUUCCAAUAAAAUCACAAGCACACACACAGCAAGUAUACUAUCAGAUUCAAACAUAACAAUCAGAGAGUAAACCACAGUCCAUCGACAAGCAAACAGAUUCAUACCAAUUUGUUGAAACAGACAGUUCGCGAGUCAGUGCAGUAUCAGACUCUCAGUAACAUGGUCAGAUCAAGCAGCACAACCAGUCAAAACGCAUAGAUGCGCAAUAAACAUAGUUAAAAACAGCAUAAGCGAGGUCUUCGUUACAAGAACCUGAAUACUUCCCAACCUUUUAUUGGAUCUCCUCCCUUUUGAUCUAACAAGCAGAGGACAUUGGCAACUCUUUCCUCUUACCCAGGAUCAGUCAGUGGGAGAAGCUGGUACUCUGGCAGCAAAAAGCAUGCACCAUUUUCCCUUUUUUUUUUAUCCUAUUUAAUUUGAGAGGUGCAACCACUGCCAGACUUAUACACAGGAUAACUGUGC